RNAcentral lists this ribosomal RNA (704 nucleotides) under uncultured bacterium. Its description in RNAcentral is "bacterial SSU rRNA". It matches the Rfam family "Bacterial small subunit ribosomal RNA", at positions 778 to 1482 of the family's 1533-position model. The record is from RNAcentral.
UUAGAUACCCUGGUAGUCCAUGCCGUAAACGAUGAGUGCUAGGUGUUGGGGGGCUUCCACCCCUCGGUGCCGGCGUUAACGCAUUAAGCACUCCGCCUGGGGAGUACGGCCGCAAGGCUUAAACUCAAAGGAAUUGACGGGGACCCGCACAAGCGGUGGAGCAUGUGGUUUAAUUCGAAGCAACGCGAAGAACCUUACCAGCUCUUGACAUCUUCUGACAGCUCUAGAGAUAGAGUGUUCCCUUCGGGGACAGAAUGACAGGUGGUGCAUGGUUGUCGUCAGCUCGUGUCGUGAGAUGUUGGGUUAAGUCCCGUAACGAGCGCAACCCUUGUUGUCAGUUGCCAGCAUUUAGUUGGGCACUCUGGCGAGACUGCCGGUGACAAACCGGAGGAAGGUGGGGAUGACGUCAAAUCAGCAUGCCCCUUAUGAGCUGGGCUACACACGUGCUACAAUGGAUGGUACAGCGAGUCGCUAAACCGCGAGGUCAAGCAAAUCUCCUAAAGCCAUUCUCAGUCCGGAUUGCAGGCUGCAACUCGCCUGCAUGAAGCCGGAAUCGCUAGUAAUCGUGGAUCAGAACGCCACGGUGAAUACGUUCCCGGGUCUUGUACACACCGCCCGUCACACCACGAGAGUUCGUAACACCCGAAGUCGGUCGAGCAACUUUAUAGAGCCAGCCGCCGAAGGUGGGAUGGAUGAUUGGGGUG